Molecule: long non-coding RNA, 852 nt
Organism: Leptonychotes weddellii (Weddell seal)
Lineage: Eukaryota; Metazoa; Chordata; Mammalia; Carnivora; Phocidae
Source: RefSeq, a predicted model, not a curated record
UUUAUUUACUCUUACUUUCAGGUUUGUGUAGGACUCAGAGCCGCACAUAGGACUGCAUGACCUCAGUGUCCAAGCUGGGACCCAGAAGGUUGUUUGGCCAAAGUACUGAGAGAUACAAGUGUUUUUUCUUCACUCCAUGCUUCACCUCCAGUGUAAAGAACAGAUAAGAGAUCAUCUCUUCCCAUUUCCCACUCUGCCAGAUGGUUCCACAAAUGCCUACUUUUUGCAAAUAUCUUGCUUUCCUUCUCUGGAACAUGCUUUUUAUCCUCCGGUUCUAGAAAUCCGACCAAAUCUAAAGCCCCCAGAUCUUACUCUGUUCCGUUGUACAUUAUUAAAAUGAUCUCAUAAAGCACUUAAUUUCUGAAAUAUAGUUUUAUGUAUUAUUUCUUAGCAGACAUUCUCAUUCAUACCUAUACUGUCUUCCAUUUUUUUCUUUGUAAUAUAUUCCUGUCACAAUUAUGGCCUAGGUAACAUAAAAACACAAAAAUGCAAUAUAUGAGCAUCCCAAAAGGAUUGAAUGUUUUCAAAACUCAAAAGUCUGGCUACUUGUCUGUUAGGUCAUAUAUUAAAAUGUGAAUAAUAGGGACUUAAUGAAUCUGGCAUUGGGGAUAAGAUCAACACCUACUUUUCAAGUUCUUUAUUCUGUAUCAGGUCUGCUUUUAAAUUUGGCCCUUACAUUUAAGCAGAUGUGCCUGAACAUACUGCAGUAUGACCAGGGACUAAGGAGUCCAAUUCUCUUUGGAGUCUCCAUAAUUCUGGUAUUUCAACUGAAUAAAUUACUGUCUGCAAAGUAGAGCUGUUAUGUUGUUCUUGAGCUUUAGAGGGCGGUAGAGGAGCUGUCUGAAAAAAUCC